UCGAGGAUCAUUCGCAAUGGGCGAAAGCCUGACGAUGCGACGCCGUGUGAGCGAUGAAGGCCUUCGGGUUGUAAAGCUCUUUCGCUUGGGAACAAGAGAGGUUUGUGAAUAGCAGGCCGAUUUGAGGGUACCAGGUAAAGAAGCACCGGCUAACUCCGUGCCAGCAGCUGCGGUAAUACGGAGGGUGCAAGCAUUAAUCGGAAUUAUUGGGCGUAAAGGGCGCGUAGGCGGAAGGAUAAGUCAGAUGUGAAAUUCCGAGGCUCAACCUCGGAGCUGCAUUUGAAACUAUCCAUCUAGAGGGUUGGCGGAGAAAAUGGAAUUCCACAAGUAGCGGUGAAAUGCGUAGAUAUGUGGAAGAACACCGGUGGCGAAGGCGGUUUUCUAGCUUACACCUGACGCUGAGGCGCGAAAGCAAGGGGAGCAAACAGGAUUAGAUACCCCCGUAGUCC
RNAcentral lists this ribosomal RNA (449 nucleotides) under uncultured bacterium. Its description in RNAcentral is "bacterial SSU rRNA". It matches the Rfam family "Bacterial small subunit ribosomal RNA", at positions 355 to 796 of the family's 1533-position model. The record is from RNAcentral.